CUUUUAAGGUGAGAUCAUGUUGCCCAAUAGAUCUUGCCAGAAGACUGGAUUCUGCAGGGAAUGCAUGUGACAACUGCUACCAACUUCUUAUUCUUUUGCUACCCAAAAAAGGAAUCAGCCAGCACACACCCGAUCAAAGAUCCUGGGAUUUGGGAGUUGUUGAGUGCAGGUGCAUCUGGCCAGCGGAAUUUACUGGCAUCACCUAAGGUUAAUUAAGGGACUAAAGCUCCAUCUCUGGUCUCCAAGUAAAGCAAGAAUGAUGGUAGCUCAGAAGAUGGAGAACUGAGCCCUCAAGCCUCUCCCCACUGUUUCUCAUACCAGGUGGUCUUGUCUGCGUGAACGAAGAAGCCGCGGCCUCCGAGGCUCUGCAGGCAGCUCUUGGCCGGUCUAGGUUACCGGUGAUUAUUCAUCUAGCCUCGAUCCAACAGUCGCGAGCAGGAGCAAAGCCUCCCCCUUCCCCCCACCCUCCCUGCUACCUUGGAGAAAUCGAGCAGGAAAGUGUUGGAGGUAUUUUAGAAGCUGUGGUUCGCCCGCAGGUGAGUCAGUCCAGGGAAAGAACGAAGCCGAGGACGGUUUAGAAAGAAGUUCCAGGAACAAGUUUAGAUGCGUUUAACUCGCACUAUGGGCUUGUACAGCACGAAAAACAACUGCCAUAGUAAAGAACAGUGAAAACCACUACAAGAAACUUUU
This 690-nucleotide long non-coding RNA is filed under the name Monodelphis domestica (gray short-tailed opossum). RNAcentral's name for it is "lncRNA (ENSMODG00000038468.1)". The record is from RNAcentral. Lineage: Eukaryota; Metazoa; Chordata; Mammalia; Didelphimorphia; Didelphidae.